RNAcentral lists this ribosomal RNA (506 nucleotides) under uncultured bacterium. Its description in RNAcentral is "partial 16S ribosomal RNA". It matches the Rfam family "Bacterial small subunit ribosomal RNA", at positions 29 to 523 of the family's 1533-position model. The record is from RNAcentral.
AGUGAACGCUGGCGGUAGGCCUAACACAUGCAAGUCGAACGGCAGCACAGGAGAGCUUGCCCUCUGGGUGGCGAGUGGCGGACGGGUGAGGAAUACAUCGGAAUCUACUCUGUAGUGGGGGAUAACGUAGGGAAACUUACGCUAAUACCGCAUACGACCUACGGGUGAAAGCAGGGGCCCUUCGGGCCUUGCGCGAUUGAAUGAGCCGAUGUCGGAUUAGCUAGUUGGCGGGGUAAAGGCCCACCAAGGCGACGAUCCGUAGCUGGUCUGAAAGGAUGAUCAGCCACAGUGGAACGGAGACACGGGCCAGACUCCUACGGGAGGCAGCAGUGGGGAAUAUUGGACAAUGGGCGCAAGCCUGAUCCAGCCAUACCGCGUGGGUGAAGAAGGCCUUCGGGUUGUAAAGCCCUGUUGGUGGGAAAGAAAUCCAGCUGGCUAAUACCCGGUUGGGAUGACGUUACCCAAAGAAGAAGCACCGGCUAACUUCGUGCCAGCCGCCGCUGUAA